This 450-nucleotide ribosomal RNA is filed under the name uncultured Rickettsiales bacterium. RNAcentral's name for it is "bacterial SSU rRNA". It matches the Rfam family "Bacterial small subunit ribosomal RNA", at positions 29 to 505 of the family's 1533-position model. The record is from RNAcentral. Lineage: Bacteria; Pseudomonadati; Pseudomonadota; Alphaproteobacteria; Rickettsiales.
AACGAACGCUGGCGGUAUGCUUAACACAUGCAAGUCGAACGGGUUUAAUUCAAGCUUGCUUAAUUAAAUUAGUGGCAAACGGGUGAGUAAUGCAAAGGAAUCUACCUAGCAGUAUGGAAUAACUCUGGGAAACCAAAGCUAAUACCAUAUAUUACCGACUUAGUCGGGAAAGAUUUAUCGCUGUUAGAUGAGCCUUUGUCAGAUUAGCUUGUUGGUAGGGUAAUGGCCUACCAAGGCAAUGAUCUGUAGCUGGUCUGAGAGGAUGAUCAGCCACACUGGGACUGAGACACGGCCCAGACUCCUACGGGAGGCAGCAGUGGGGAAUAUUGGACAAUGGGCGCAAGCCUGAUCCAGCAAUACCGCGUGAAUGAUGAAGGCUUUCGGGUUGUAAAAUUCUUUUAGUAGGGAAGAUAAUGACGGUACCUACAGAAAAAGCACCGGCUAACUUCG